ACUAUUUUGGCAGAUAAGUGCGGUAGAUUUAGAAUCUUUUUAUGUGAAUUUAAUUUUUCAAAUAGUA
This 67-nucleotide transfer RNA is filed under the name Hodotermopsis sjostedti. RNAcentral describes it as "tRNA-Leu". It matches the Rfam family "tRNA". From Rfam's summary of the family: Transfer RNA (tRNA) molecules are approximately 80 nucleotides in length. Lineage: Eukaryota; Metazoa; Arthropoda; Insecta; Blattodea; Termopsidae. The record is from RNAcentral.